Molecule: ribosomal RNA, 498 nt
Filed under: uncultured bacterium
Lineage: Bacteria
Description: partial 16S ribosomal RNA
Rfam family: Bacterial small subunit ribosomal RNA
Source: RNAcentral
AUUGAACGCUGGCGGCAUGCCUUACACAUGCAAGUCGAACGGUAACAGGUCUUCGGAUGCUGACGAGUGGCGAACGGGUGAGUAAUACAUCGGAACGUGCCUAGUAGUGGGGGAUAACUACUCGAAAGAGUGGCUAAUGCCGCAUGAGAUCUACGGAUGAAAGCAGGGGAUCGCAAGACCUUGUGCUACUAGAGCGGCCGAUGGCAGAUUAGGUAGUUGGUGGGAUAAAAGCUUACCAAGCCGACGAUCUGUAGCUGGUCUGAGAGGACGAUCAGCCACACUGGGACUGAGACACGGCCCAGACUCCUACGGGAGGCAGCAGUGGGGAAUUUUGGACAAGGGGCGAAAGCCUGAUCCAGCAAUGCCGCGUGCAGGAUGAAGGCCUUCGGGUUGUAAACUGCUUUUGUACGGAACGAAAAGCCCCGGGUUAAUACCCUGGGGUCAUGACGGUACCGUAAGAAUAAGCACCGGCUAACUACGUGCCAGCCGCCGCGGUAA